AUGUGGAUGAUGCUUCAAAGGGGAGGCUACAGAGAGCAUCGUUCGCUUCUUGGUAAUCUGCAGGACUCUACUGCGGUCAUGGCUUUUUUUAGAAAACCAAAUCUGCACCAUGCCAAUAUGAUUCUUGGUGAGCAUGCUUUCGACAUGCCUCACCCUCUCAGGUUUUUAUAUUCCUGCUCAAGCCAGCUUGUGGGUUUGCAUAUCCUAUAUUCAGAGCUUGUGCAUGGCAAUUCACUUAUAAAUUUCUUUGAUUUUUUUGCUGGGUUUAAUGUAGUAUCUACCACAUGUUUACAUGAUGACUCCUUUUAUCCUUGA
Molecule: ribosomal RNA, 315 nt
Filed under: Triticum aestivum (bread wheat)
Lineage: Eukaryota; Viridiplantae; Streptophyta; Magnoliopsida; Poales; Poaceae
Description: partial small subunit ribosomal RNA
Source: RNAcentral